ACGAUCACGAUCACAUGAUUGUGUUUUGAUAAUGUUCUCACCUUGGUUUGAUUUUCCUAAAUAUCUAUAUAUUUGUGUGGAAGUACUAUCAAACCGCUGUCAAGGUAACAUGCUCUGGAUGUAAACAAAAGUACCACUCUUCUUCAGCUACAAGAGCUCAGCAGCACUGCAUCAGCUGUAGUGCAAGGAUGGUGUCUUCUUUUAUUCCUACCUCCAUGUCUCAACUGGGUGAAUUUCAUAGUCUCAGGGAGGUUACUUGCAUAUUGAAGUGCUUAUAAACUUAGCAAUGUCUAGAAAAUAAUUUCAUGCAAACUUGGAAGCUACUGCCUUAACUGUAUGCUGCUAUACAUUAAAUUUAGUAAGAUUUCAUAUUUUGCACAUCAGCUGUAAAAUGUACAUUUCCAAAAUAAAAUUUUAUUACAGAAUUAUAAAUUCAAACAUGACAAUACAUAUUAUAUUUUAUUCCUCUAUCCCAAUUAAAUAAACAGAUUACGAAAAUGUGCAUUUAAAUAUAGUAUUUACUAUAAAUAUAUCGGGAACAAAUACCAAAAAUCACCUACUCAAACUGGUAGUCAAGUAUAUUCCAAAUUUCCUAUUUUUGAUAUGUGAAUAAGUAAUGAGCUUUUUAAAACAAAAACACACAAUUUGGCUGAAAUAUAGAAACUACACAUUAAUUAUAUACUACAUGAAGAACUUUAUGAAAUACAAUACCCUAUAUAAGGUUCUGAUAUGAGAAAUUUGACC
Molecule: long non-coding RNA, 744 nt
Organism: Stegodyphus dumicola
Lineage: Eukaryota; Metazoa; Arthropoda; Arachnida; Araneae; Eresidae
Source: RefSeq, a predicted model, not a curated record